GACGAACGCUGGCGGCGUGCUUAACACAUGCAAGUCGAACGGAAAGGCCCUGCUUUUGUGGGGUGCUCGAGUGGCGAACGGGUGAGUAACACGUGAGUAACCUGCCCUUGACUUUGGGAUAACUUCAGGAAACUGGGGCUAAUACCGGAUAGGGGCUCCUGCUGCAUGGUGGGGGUUGGAAAGUUUCGGCGGCUGGGGAUGGACUCGCGGCUUAUCAGCUUGUUGGUGGGGUAGUGGCUUACCAAGGCUUUGACGGGUAGCCGGCCUGAGAGGGUGACCGGCCACAUUGGGACUGAGAUACGGCCCAGACUCCUACGGGAGGCAGCAGUGGGGAAUAUUGCACAAUGGGCGGAAGCCUGAUGCAGCAACGCCGCGUGCGGGAUGACGGCCUUCGGGUUGUAAACCGCUUUCGCCUGUGACGAAGCGUGAGUGACGGUAAUGGGUAAAGAAGCACCGGCUAACUACGUG
Molecule: ribosomal RNA, 468 nt
Filed under: uncultured bacterium
Lineage: Bacteria
Description: partial 16S ribosomal RNA
Rfam family: Bacterial small subunit ribosomal RNA
Source: RNAcentral